GAUGAACGCUGGCGGCGUGCCUAAUACAUGCAAGUCGAGCGAAUGGACGAGAAGCUUGCUUCUCUGAUGUUAGCGGCGGACGGGUGAGUAACACGUGGAUAACCUACCUAUAAGACUGGGAUAACUUCGGGAAACCGUAGCUAAUACCGGAUAAUAUUUUGAACCGCAUGGUUCAAAAGUGAAAGACGGUCUUGCUGUCACUUAUAGCUGGAUCCGCGCUGCAUUAGCUAGUUGGUAAGGUAACGGCUUACCAAGGCAACGAUGCAUAGCCGACCUGAGAGGGUGAUCGGCCACACUGGAACGGAGACACGGACCAGACGCCUACGGGAGGCAGCAGUAGGGAAUCUUCCGCAAUGGGCGAAAGCCUGACGGAGCAACGCCGCGUGAGUGAUGAAGGUCUUCGGAUCGUAAAACUCUGUUAUUAGGGAAGAACAUAUGUGGAAGGAACUGUGCACAUCUUGACGGUACCUAAUCAGAAAGCCACGGCUAACUACGUG
This 497-nucleotide ribosomal RNA is filed under the name uncultured bacterium. RNAcentral's name for it is "partial 16S ribosomal RNA". It matches the Rfam family "Bacterial small subunit ribosomal RNA", at positions 28 to 507 of the family's 1533-position model. The record is from RNAcentral.